This 1982-nucleotide long non-coding RNA is filed under the name Macaca fascicularis (crab-eating macaque). RNAcentral's name for it is "lncRNA (ENSMFAG00000053465.1)". Lineage: Eukaryota; Metazoa; Chordata; Mammalia; Primates; Cercopithecidae. The record is from RNAcentral.
AAGUAUAAUUUUGCAUUUUAUUCAUUCAUUCCAUCAGCUGGGAAUUGCUCUAUUGUACAAAUACAGUUUUGUACAAAAAAAUCACAAAAUGUUACAAAAUAAAAAAAGUACAAACUGCAUUACUUAAUAAAUAUGACUAAAAGUAGUUAAAGUGGCAAUGAGAUAGAUUUUAAGUUGGAAACAUUGUUUGACCCAGCAAACCAUACAAGCUCUGUUUACAGACAUUUCUACAUUAAUACAGGGCAAUCCUAUUUCACCUUCUGAAAGAAUGUAAAAGAAAUAUUAAGACAGUGUUCUCCUGCUGUAACUGCCAAGGGUGGCUCCAGACAUUUAUGCCAUUAGUUUAUAAAUCUCUUAGUUGGAUCCAAGAAGUUAAAGCAGGAGGCUUAUCUUGUCACAGAGUUUUAUACCAUAUUAACAUUCUCUUUAUAACAAAAUAACAAAUGUCAAUAAAAACAAUUGAGAGCACCAGACGAUCUACUCUACAUAUCAACCAGGGUACAGAAUAACCAUUCUGCCAUCAGCAAAUAUCAGACUUUCAUUCAAGUAAGACCCGGUACUAUCCCUUAAAACAGGAAAAAAAAGAAAAAAAACACCUUCCCACAACCUUCCAUUAGAUAAUUUUCUUUAAAAGAUUCACCAUUUCUAGAAAAAUAAUGAUUUCCAAAACAACAGCUCUGUUUCAUCAAAAUGGAAUGGGCCAAACAUCUGGUAACAAGAAUGUUUCAAUAUCCAUUUGAAAUAAUUAUCUAAGAAUUGUGAAAUUCAAAUUUCAACAACAUAAAAUAACUACCAAAUCACAAAUUCUAUUCAAAAUAAUACAUUUCAUAUAAAGCACUUCUCUGGAUUUAUGCCUGAACACAUCAUAGAUGAAGGUACACCAGUUUUUAAAAAUGUUGUGCAAAAAUACAUUUUUAUAGAAAAUAGACUACCAGGAAUGAACAAAUUUACACUGUGAGAAAUCAGCUUGCAAAUUAAGUAGUGCUCACUUUAUACAGCAAAUUAUAAAUAGCAAUAAAAUCACCCAAAGCUAUCAUGAAACAUCAUUUAGGUGGCCCAGCAACCUUCAGCUCCGAGAAAACAUUCAAAAAGAUGAUUAAGGCAUUACACCUACAAUAAAAUCUACUAGCAAGUUUGAAAGUGCUAUUACCCUGAUUAGAGUUCAUGUGAUUCUCCAAACACAAGUUAUGUAUGCAAUUAUUCCCAGGGUGUAAGGUUUUGAGACAUUUCAAGAGCAUGCAUUUUGUUCAAUAUACAUUUUGGAUAGGGAUAUGGCCAUAGAUUUGGCAAGUUCUUCGUCGCGUUUCCUUUGCACUUGAGUUUGUUUGCACCAGUUGUCGUACUCUGGGUUAGGAUAGGAGUGAUCAAAUACAGCAUCAUAGUGUCCGUUACUGAGCCAACUGAGCCAAAUACUAGGCCUCAGGGAAUCCUCUGGGCCCAAAUAAUGAAUCAUAGUAGACACCGUGGGGCUCUCCAGCCUCCCUCCAGUAGUUAAGUGGAUAUUCACAUUCAGCAUCUGCCCCAUGGCCAGCAAUUCCGGGUACCCAGCCCAUGCCCCGUCUUGGGCAGCAGCGAUGAUAAACUCCCCCACGUCGCCCUCAAUCAGGGGGCUGAAGUGGUCGAGAUGGUCGGCGAUAUAGUGCACCGUCUGCUCCCUCAGCUCCCGGUGCAGGCUCUGGUCCCCAUACACCGUCUUGCUGACAGCUCGGUAGAGGCAGUUGCCGUCGGGAAUGAUGUGAAAUCGGUACUUAUUCCUCUGCCGCAAGUACUUGUCCUGCUUCUCCACCUCGGCCAGGUACAGGGCCAGCUUCUCGUCUCUGGGAUCUGACCUGGAGACGAUCACCGGCUCCGCCGCGCUGCUCGGGGCGGUCUCGAUGCUCCGGGCUGGGGUGCCUCGGCCUCUGGUCGGGCCUCCGCGCCGCGUCCCCACCGGGAGCGUCGCAGCGGUCGCCGCCCCUCCCAGCCCCUAGGGCCCCUUUCCA